GUAUGUAUGUAUGUAUGAAUCGGAUUGUACAGUAUUAUGUAUCCAUUACGACCGAUCUUACCAAUCGGUUUCGUACUAGAGGUUCAACGGAGUGUUAGCUAACUGCGUUUAUGUAAACCUGCGCUCUUCAGUGAUAGCCGUUAUGA
This is a long non-coding RNA of Octopus sinensis (East Asian common octopus), 146 nucleotides long. RefSeq lists it as uncharacterized. The record is from RefSeq and is a predicted model, not a curated record. NCBI's taxonomy places the organism in Eukaryota, Metazoa, Mollusca, Cephalopoda, Octopoda, Octopodidae. The transcript is spliced from 4 exons.